This 468-nucleotide ribosomal RNA is filed under the name uncultured bacterium. RNAcentral's name for it is "partial 16S ribosomal RNA". It matches the Rfam family "Bacterial small subunit ribosomal RNA", at positions 28 to 507 of the family's 1533-position model. The record is from RNAcentral.
GACGAACGCUGGCGGCGUGCUUAACACAUGCAAGUCGAACGGUAAGGCCCUGCUGUUGUGGGGUGCUCGAGUGGCGAACGGGUGAGUAACACGUGAGUAACCUGCCCUUUACUUUGGGAUAACGUCAGGAAACUGGGGCUAAUACCGGAUAGGAGCUCCUGCUACAUGGUGGGGGUUGGAAAGUUUCGGCGGUUGGGGAUGGACUCGCGGCUUAUCAGCUUGUUGGUGGGGUAGUGGCUUACCAAGGCUUUGACGGGUAGCCGGCCUGAGAGGGUGACCGGCCACAUUGGGACUGAGAGACGGACCAGACUCCUACGGGAGGCAGCAGUGGGGAAUAUUGCACAAUGGGCGGAAGCCUGAUGCAGCAACGCCGCGUGCGGGAUGACGGCCUUCGGGUUGUAAACCGCGUUCGCCUGUGACGAAGCGUGAGUGACGGUAAUGGGUAAAGAAGCACCGGCUAACUACGUG